CCUACGGGGGGCAGCAGUGAGGAAUAUUGGUCAAUGGACGCGCGUCUGAACCAGCCAAGCAGCGUGAAGGAUGACGGCUCUAUGGGUUGUAAACUUCUUUUGUAAGGGAAUAAACCCAGGCACGUGUCCCUGGUUGCAUGUACUUUAUGAAUAAGGAUCGGCUAACUCCGUGCCAGCAGCCGCGGUAAUACGGAGGAUCCGAGCGUUAUCCGGAUUUAUUGGGUUUAAAGGGUGCGUAGGCGGGUUGUUAAGUCAGUGGUGAAAGGUCGCGGCUCAACCCUAAAACUGCAAUUGAUACUGGCAGUCUUGAGUAUAGUUGAGGUAAGCGGAAUGCGUGGUGUAGCGGUGAAAUGCUUAGAUAUCACGCAGAACCCCGAUUGCGAAGGCAGCUUACCAAACUGUCACUGACAUUGAGGCACGAAAGCGUGGGUAUCAAACAGGAUUAGAUACCCUUGUAGUC
RNAcentral lists this ribosomal RNA (460 nucleotides) under uncultured bacterium. Its description in RNAcentral is "partial 16S ribosomal RNA". It matches the Rfam family "Bacterial small subunit ribosomal RNA", at positions 338 to 795 of the family's 1533-position model. The record is from RNAcentral.